GGAGUGUGCGCUGUGGGCUGGACUGCCUUCAGCAGAGUGAGUCAUGUGUGAGACAGCUCAGCCCUGGCAGUGAGCUUUCCAGGAGAGCCUCUGACCCUCACAGACCUUCCUGAGCUCAGCCAGGAUGUACCAAGACAGAACCAGGAUAGCUCCUAUAAGGCUCUUUUCCUAAGACACGCUAAGCAGGUACCCUCUCUAAAAUAUAUUGUUGGAGAAAAAGAAAAAAUUAA
Molecule: long non-coding RNA, 230 nt
Filed under: Junco hyemalis (dark-eyed junco)
Lineage: Eukaryota; Metazoa; Chordata; Aves; Passeriformes; Passerellidae
Description: lncRNA (ENSJHYG00000012328.1)
Source: RNAcentral